Molecule: small RNA, 104 nt
Filed under: Salmonella enterica subsp. enterica serovar Senftenberg
Lineage: Bacteria; Pseudomonadati; Pseudomonadota; Gammaproteobacteria; Enterobacterales; Enterobacteriaceae
Also listed under: 5 other names
Description: partial RtT sRNA
Rfam family: RtT RNA
About the family: This family represents a bacterial cis-regulatory element known as RtT RNA. The exact function of RtT is unknown although it is thought that it may be involved in changing the cellular response in relation to amino acid starvation.
Source: RNAcentral
GCUUCGACUAAGGUUCGAUUCGAGCGAAAGCGAGAAAGCGUUGCCGCAGGCAACGACCCGAAGGGCGAAGCGCGCAGCGCUGAGUCAUCCUUCCCCCACCACCA